GCCAGACUCCUACGGGAGGCAGCAGUGAGGAAUAUUGGUCAAUGGGCGGAAGCCUGAACCAGCCAAGUCGCGUGAGGGAAGAAGGCCCUGCGGGUCGCAGACCUCUUUGGACGGGGAGCAAGGCCGCCGACGUGUCGGCGGAAGGAGAGUACCCGUAGAACAAGCAUCGGCUAACUCCGUGCCAGCAGCCGCGGUAAUACGGAGGAUGCGAGCGUUAUCCGGAUUUAUUGGGUUUAAAGGGUGCGCGGGCGGCCGGGCAAGCCGGCGGUCAAAUCGCGGGGCUCAACCCCGCCCAGCCGUCGGAACUGCCGGGCUAGAGUGGGCGAGAAGUAUGCGGAAUGCGCGGUGUAGCGGUGAAAUGCAUAGAUAUCGCGCAGAACUCCGAUUGCGAAGGCAGCAUGCCGGCUCCACACUGACGCUGAGGCACGAAAGCGUGGGUAUCGAACAGGAUUAGAUACCCGAGUACA
This 467-nucleotide ribosomal RNA is filed under the name uncultured bacterium. RNAcentral's name for it is "bacterial SSU rRNA". It matches the Rfam family "Bacterial small subunit ribosomal RNA", at positions 330 to 794 of the family's 1533-position model. The record is from RNAcentral.